RNAcentral lists this ribosomal RNA (253 nucleotides) under uncultured bacterium. RNAcentral describes it as "partial 16S ribosomal RNA". It matches the Rfam family "Bacterial small subunit ribosomal RNA", at positions 524 to 776 of the family's 1533-position model. The record is from RNAcentral.
UACGUAGGGCGCAAGCGUUAUCCGGAAUUAUUGGGCGUAAAGAGCUCGUAGGCGGUUUGUCGCGUCUGCCGUGAAAGUCCGGGGCUCAACUCCGGAUCUGCGGUGGGUACGGGCAGACUAGAGUGCAGUAGGGGAGACUGGAAUUCCUGGUGUAGCGGUGAAAUGCGCAGAUAUCAGGAGGAACACCGGUGGCGAAGGCGGGUCUCUGGGCCGUAACUGACGCUGAGGAGCGAAAGCGUGGGGAGCGAACAGG